RNAcentral lists this long non-coding RNA (347 nucleotides) under Vitis vinifera (wine grape). RNAcentral's name for it is "long non-coding RNA (VVIN_LNC003171)". The record is from RNAcentral. Lineage: Eukaryota; Viridiplantae; Streptophyta; Magnoliopsida; Vitales; Vitaceae.
AACAAAGGAGUUCCAUUUCGACAAGGAAGUGAUCAAGUUGUUGGAAUUUCAUCUGCUAGAGAUUCAACACGUGCAUCAUCUGUUAUUGCCAUGGAUACAAUUGGCCACAGUGCAAAUGAAAACUCUAUGGAAAGUGUUGAAAACUAUCCUGGUGAUAUUGAUGAUGUUCAGUUCCCUUCUUCUAGCAUAUAUGGUAACCUGGAUAUGAAUGACACAUCUGAAAUGAAUUAUAGUAAUCAAGCACAGCAGAGCAUUUGUUUCCAACCUGCUGCUGAAGUAGUUCCUGGAGAAAUGGGGGUCAGCAGUACUAAUGAUGGUGAAGAAAUCUUCAAUGCAGAAAUUGUGAC